This 459-nucleotide ribosomal RNA is filed under the name uncultured bacterium. RNAcentral's name for it is "partial 16S ribosomal RNA". It matches the Rfam family "Bacterial small subunit ribosomal RNA", at positions 338 to 795 of the family's 1533-position model. The record is from RNAcentral.
CCUACGGGCGGCAGCAGUGAGGAAUAUUGGUCAAUGGCCGAGAGGCUGAACCAGCCAAGUCGCGUGAGGGAAGACGGCCCUACGGGUUGUAAACCUCUUUUGUCGGGGAGCAAAGAGAGUCACGUGUGACUCAUUGAGAGUACCCGAAGAAAAAGCAUCGGCUAACUCCGUGCCAGCAGCCGCGGUAAUACGGAGGAUGCGAGCGUUAUCCGGAUUUAUUGGGUUUAAAGGGUGCGCAGGCGGAGGUGCAAGUCAGCGGUCAAAUGGCGGGGCUCAACCCCGUACCGCCGUUGAAACUGCAACCCUUGAGUGGGCGAGAAGUAUGCGGAAGGCGUGGUGUAGCGGUGAAAUGCAUAGAUAUCGCGCAGAACUCCGAUUGCGAAGGCAGCAUACCGGCGCGAAACUGACGCUGAGGCACGAAAGCGUGGGUAUCGAACAGGAUUAGAUACCCCUGUAGUC